CAACUUUCAACAACGGAUCUCUUGGCUCUCGCAUCGAUGAARAACGCA
RNAcentral lists this ribosomal RNA (48 nucleotides) under Russula subrubescens. Its description in RNAcentral is "partial 5.8S ribosomal RNA". It matches the Rfam family "5.8S ribosomal RNA", at positions 1 to 47 of the family's 154-position model. From Rfam's summary of the family: 5.8S ribosomal RNA (5.8S rRNA) is a component of the large subunit of the eukaryotic ribosome. It is transcribed by RNA polymerase I as part of the 45S precursor that also contains 18S and 28S rRNA. Functionally, it is thought that 5.8S rRNA may be involved in ribosome translocation. The record is from RNAcentral. Lineage: Eukaryota; Fungi; Basidiomycota; Agaricomycetes; Russulales; Russulaceae.